UGAGGGAUAUUGGGCAAUGGGGGAAACCCUGACCCAGCGACGCCGCGUGAGGGAAGACGGUCUUCGGAUUGUAAACCUCUGUCUUUGGGGACGAAAAGGACGGUACCCAAGGAGGAAGCUCCGGCUAACUACGUGCC
Molecule: ribosomal RNA, 137 nt
Filed under: uncultured bacterium
Lineage: Bacteria
Description: partial 16S ribosomal RNA
Rfam family: Bacterial small subunit ribosomal RNA
Source: RNAcentral